RNAcentral lists this ribosomal RNA (661 nucleotides) under uncultured archaeon. RNAcentral's name for it is "bacterial SSU rRNA". It matches the Rfam family "Archaeal small subunit ribosomal RNA", at positions 1 to 666 of the family's 1478-position model. The record is from RNAcentral.
UUCCGGUUGAUCCUGCCGGAGGACAUUGCUAUUGGGAUUCGAUUUAGCCAUGCUAGUCGAACGAGUUCACACUCGUGGCAGAUAGCUCAGUAACACGUGGCCAAGCUACCCUUCAGUCAGCGAUACCCUCGGGAAACUGAGGCUAAUAGCUGAUACUCGACGCCAGCUGGAAUGCGGCGUCGUCGAAAGACACCGCUGAAGGAUGCGGCUGCGGCCGAUUAGGUAGACGGUGGGGUAACGGCCCACCGUGCCAGUAAUCGGUACGGGUGAUGAGAGUCAGAGCCCGGAGACGGAAUCUGAGACAAGAUUCCGGGCCCUACGGGGCGCAGCAGGCGCGAAACCUUUACACUGCACGGAAGUGCGAUAGGGGAAUCCCAAGUGCGAGGGCAUAUUAGCCCUCGCUUUUGUUGACUGUAAGGUGGUCAACGAAUAAGAGCUGGGCAAGACCGGUGCCAGCCGCCGCGGUAAUACCGGCAGCUCAAGUGAUGUCCCAUAUUAUUGGGCCUAAAGCGUCCGUAGCUGGCCACCCAAGUCCAUCGGGAAAUCCACCUGCCCAACGGGUGGGCGUCCGGUGGAAACUGGCUGGCUUGGAACCGGAAGGCUCAGAGAGUACGUCCGGGGUAGGAGUGAAAUCCCGUAAUCCCGGACGGACUACCGAUGG